ACUACACGAGGGCUAGUCGCAUGCAGGGGUGGGGGCUUUAAACCAGCACGUGCAUGCCCCGCAUCACACGGAAACCAGUCUGGCAGAGGCUGGGGUGCAGGAGAGCGGGUGCGGUGGGGAAUCCUGCUCCGGUGACAAUGAACUUGGCUGCCCAUGCUCAGCACCACGUGGGGGGCACCAGCUACCCCCCUAUCCCCUGCAGGGAGAUUGAGGGACUAUUCAGGGAGUGAGGGAGAUUGCUACUAUUUCAGGGAGUCUCCUGCAGAAUGAGGGAAGGUCAUGUUUUGAGGAUUUCCGUCUGUGGAGGCAAGCAGCUGGGAUAAUUACUGACCCAACAAAAUAGAUGAACCCACCUGUGCAUGAUCUGUGCAUGACCUGCUGGUGGUACUUGCGGACUGUAGUUGAGAACCCCUGCUCUAGAUUUCAAACUGUUUUUACUGUGCAUGUUGAAACACAUUAUUAUCUACAUCCCACUCUCACCUUUC
This is a long non-coding RNA of Pseudophryne corroboree (corroboree frog), 485 nucleotides long. RefSeq lists it as uncharacterized. The record is from RefSeq and is a predicted model, not a curated record. NCBI's taxonomy places the organism in Eukaryota, Metazoa, Chordata, Amphibia, Anura, Myobatrachidae. The transcript has 3 exons.